Molecule: ribosomal RNA, 736 nt
Filed under: Nasutitermes sp. 18 NCCPB-2018
Lineage: Eukaryota; Metazoa; Arthropoda; Insecta; Blattodea; Termitidae
Description: partial large subunit ribosomal RNA
Rfam family: Bacterial large subunit ribosomal RNA (bases 292-503)
Source: RNAcentral
UUAAUUCAUACGUCUUAUUUAAUUUCUGUUGUUUCUUUAUUUAUUUUUAUUUGAUGUUAAGAUUAAGGGGGAUUAGCUCCUUAUUCUGCUUUUAUAAUUGUCUUGGUUAAUUUAGUUUUGUGGAUUUUAUGGUGAUUUUCUAUUUGAUUAUGUUAAAAUUUUAUUUGUUCUUUUUUUAAUUUUUUGUUAUUUAAGUUAUUUAUUGAAAUGUUUUCUUUACUUUUGGUUUGUAUGGUAAUUAUUGUGUAAUUAGUAAAUUUUAUUGGUUGUUUUGUGAGUAUGUUAGAUGUUAAUUAUUUUUAAGGAAUUCGGCAAAAUUUUAUGUCCGCCUGUUUAACAAAAACAUCUUUUCUUGUUAGUUUUUGAAGUAUGGCCUGCCCCCUGACUGUUGGAGGUUGAAGGGCCGCGGUAUUUUGACCGUGCAAAGGUAGCAUAAUCAUUAUUUCUUUAAUUGUGAUCUGGUAUGAAUGGCUUGACGAGACAUAACCUGUCUUGGAGGUAUUGGUUUAUUGAAUUUGGUUUUUGAGUUAAAAUUCUUAAAUGUUUUUAUGGGACGAGAAGACCCUAUAGAGUUUGACAAUUUUCUUAUUUAUUCAUUGUUUGUUUUCUGUUAUAUUGAGUGGGAAUGAUUGUUUUGUUGGGGUGAUGAGAGGAAUAUUAUUUAACUCCUCUUUGUUUUUGUAUAUUUAUUCAUAUAUUUUUGAUCCAUUUAUUUUGAUUAUAAGAUUAAAUUACC